UUUUAUGAACAAACCUGCCUCGUUUCUAUCGCUUCUCUCUCUCGCUUAUCCUAAAUUUAUCUUCCUCUCUUUUCUUUUGUUACAGACGGCAAACACUAACUCUCUCCAUCUUCAUCUCCCCCUCUUCAACAAUAAUGGUGAAACAGAAGAAUCAUCAAAAGAAAUUUAACCAUUUUCUUCAUCUACUUUAUCUCCUCCAUAAAACCACAAGAUAACUGAAAUAGUUUCACCUCCAAAAUGAAAAAUCACAUCUUCUGAGCUAUGUUCAUCAUCGUUAGAUAACCUCUUUACUUCAUCUCCUCAUGGUCUCUCAUCUCUUUAGAAGCCCAAACUUUUUACCAAUUGGAAAACCCCAAUAAUCGUUCAAUUUCAGAUCUAUUCAAGGUCGUCAAUUGAUUAAUUACACAAAAGGAACACCCUAACUGGUGUUGGAUAUCAUUUUUUUUUGGGUAAUUCUCAGAAUUACAUCUACCAACAACUAAUUGCAGACAUAUCGGUGUGGACAUGGCUAUGGAGAAAAUGGGACAAGAAUAGUUGCUCGAGAAAUUGUGUGCUGAGCAUAUCUAGGGGUUUGGAAUGGGAUGCUGGUUUCUAUAUUGGACAGGGGAGGAGCCCCAGCUUAUUGUCUGUGGAAGAUAUAUUGGAGAGGAGUGGUAUGACUUAGUUUAUAUGUCCUUCACAUUCAGUUCUGGUAAAGGGAAAGGGACAUUGUGGAGGAUUUGGUGUUGGUGGGUAGGUUUUGAGGGAGGAAGAUCAUGUUAUAAGAGUGUUUUUUUUGUGUGUCUAUGGUGGGAGGUUUUGCUGUUGUGGUGGACUAGGAGAGGCAGAUGGUGGUGAUGGGCAUGAAUAGAUAUUGUAGAUUCUUGUACAUCAACGCCUGUUUUAUGAUAGGAUAUUCUGAAGGUAUCUUGUUCUGUGUGUUCCCCAUUGUGCCAUGUUAAAGUUCUAACAUCACUAAUAUGUAUAGUGUUUGGCCAACCUUCUAUUAUUUAUGAAGAUAUGGUGUUCACAAGCCUAAGGCGCCCAUGGAUACUGAGAAUGGGGAGAAUGUCGAAGAUCAUGAGUCAUUGCUGCCCUGGUUUACCACUACAAUUUUUAUGCUCGUGAGGUGCUCGAUAGAAAUCAUGAAAGAAGGAAAAAUGGGUAAAAAGGCAUAUUUGACCCUCGUCUUAGAAAAAUGGUUGUUGAUGUCAUGUUGUUCAAUGUUCAAGUGUAGUUGCCUCUUAAAAGGUUUGAUAUACAUUUUGUCGUCGGCAGAACUUUCCUUCUCAGUUGAGCUAGUUAGUUAGCUAAUGAAGGCAUAAAUGGUGAAGUUUUGCGGGUAAAAUUUUGAACUAUAUAAAUUGCGAGUAGAAAUCUGAGAGUAUGAAAACAUUUUUGAUAUAGUAUGACUGUAUGAGAGACCCACUUAUUAUUAUAAGAUUUAAUUAUCCUUAUCAUGCUUAUUGGCUAUAUUAUGUGCAUCUCUGAAUUCACUUCUGUCUCAUACUUGCAGAUUAGCGAGAAGACUACGCUAUUCAUACUAUUAAUGUCAUGCUACAAUUGCUAAUCAUAAUUUUGUUUGUGAAUUUGGUUGUAGUGAGAUUGCUGAAAUGAUGAUUAAAAGAAUGGUUGUUGUUUUUAUGCCCAAUGGUCUAGGCAAUAUACUAGGAAGAUACGCAUGAUCCUGGAAGCUACCCUAAGGUCGGAGAUGAAGAAGGGAUGGGAAGAUAACACCACUAAUAAUUUUAUUACUAAGUUGGGGUUACGGUUCAUUUUAAUAAUUUUAUUCAUUAAGUUAAGCGUUAACCAAUAUGAGAAUGGCUCUCUUGCUCAUCACACUCUCAAUCAUGCUGACUUCUGAAAGCUUGGUUAUUAUUAUCUGGAAAGGGUUGAUGCUUGCUGAGAUAAUGAACUAUUUUGCAGUUCAUACAUUAGUUGCAGCGGAUGAGAUAUUCACACUAUUUUGCAGUCAUUACUAUAGCUUAUUUACAUUAUUAGUUAUUUCAUUGUUAGUCACUGCAAGUCAUUGUGUAAUCUUUAUUAGUUUGCAUCUAGUUGUCUCUUUGUUAAUCUUCGCUGGAUAUUUAUGACUUGUUUUGUGCUCUCAGGGAUCUGAAAAUGCAAUAGCAAGCUAAUUGACCUAUUAGUUUCUAACAUGAAACCAAGUGCAGUAGCUUCCUAUUUCAAGCGUUGCAGAUUCUUUUUCUUCAAAGGCACCACCUGACAAGAACUGGAACUAUGGAGAAGCAUUAUGGUUACGUGAACUAGAGAUUCAGUUGAACCAAAUCUUCUUUUUUUUUUUGGUAUUAUAAAUUAAUGAGACGUCUGCUUCCACCAGCUCCUUAAAGGCUGUUCGAAGUAGUCGUAAUUUGAAAAAUCAAAGAAUCUCAAAAGCAGUCGUUUUGAGAAAUAAGACUACAAUCUUAGGCUCCCCGAAACAGUCUUUUUUGGAGGUUUUAA
Papaver somniferum (opium poppy) is the source of this 2442-nucleotide long non-coding RNA. RefSeq lists it as uncharacterized. The transcript is spliced from 8 exons. The record is from RefSeq and is a predicted model, not a curated record. Lineage: Eukaryota; Viridiplantae; Streptophyta; Magnoliopsida; Ranunculales; Papaveraceae.